This 71-nucleotide transfer RNA is filed under the name Dendronephthya gigantea. Its description in RNAcentral is "tRNA-Gln". It matches the Rfam family "tRNA". From Rfam's summary of the family: Transfer RNA (tRNA) molecules are approximately 80 nucleotides in length. Their secondary structure includes four short double-helical elements and three loops (D, anti-codon, and T loops). Lineage: Eukaryota; Metazoa; Cnidaria; Anthozoa; Malacalcyonacea; Nephtheidae. The record is from RNAcentral.
GGUUCUGUGGUGUAAUGGUUAGCACUUUGGACUUUGAAUCCAAGGAUCGAGUUCAAAUCUCGGCAGGACCU